Molecule: ribosomal RNA, 467 nt
Filed under: uncultured Gammaproteobacteria bacterium
Lineage: Bacteria; Pseudomonadati; Pseudomonadota; Gammaproteobacteria
Description: bacterial SSU rRNA
Rfam family: Bacterial small subunit ribosomal RNA
Source: RNAcentral
GCACAAGCGGUGGAGCAUGUGGUUAAUUCGAUGCAACGCGAAGAACCUUACCUACUCUUGACAUCUACAGAAGCCGGAAGAGAUUCUGGUGUGCCUUCGGGAACUGUAAGACAGGUGCUGCAUGGCUGUCGUCAGCUCGUGUUGUGAAAUGUUGGGUUAAGUCCCGUAACGAGCGCAACCCUUGUCCUUAUUUGCCAGCACGUAAAGGUGGGAACUCUAAGGAGACUGCCGGUGACAAACCGGAGGAAGGUGGGGACGACGUCAAGUCAUCAUGGCCCUUACGAGUAGGGCUACACACGUGCUACAAUGGCCGGUACAAAGGGCUGCGAGCUCGCGAGAGUCAGCGAAUCCCUUAAAGCCGGUCUCAGUCCGGAUCGGAGUCUGCAACUCGACUCCGUGAAGUCGGAAUCGCUAGUAAUCGUGAAUCAGAAUGUCACGGUGAAUACGUUCCCGGGCCUUGUACACAC